Molecule: ribosomal RNA, 550 nt
Filed under: uncultured bacterium
Lineage: Bacteria
Description: bacterial SSU rRNA
Rfam family: Bacterial small subunit ribosomal RNA
Source: RNAcentral
UAGGGAAUCUUCGGCAAUGGGGGGAACCCUGACCGAGCAACGCCGCGUGAGUGAAGAAGGUUUUCGGAUCGUAAAGCUCUGUUGUUAAGGAAGAACGUGUGUGAGAGUGGAAAGUUCACACAGUGACGGUACUUAACCAGAAAGGGACGGCUAACUACGUGCCAGCAGCCGCGGUAAUACGUAGGUCCCGAGCGUUGUCCGGAUUUAUUGGGCGUAAAGCGAGCGCAGGCGGUUAGAUAAGUCUGAAGUGAAAGGCAGUGGCUCAACCAUUGUAGGCUUUGGAAACUGUUUAACUUGAGUGCAGAAGGGGAGAGUGGAAUUCCAUGUGUAGCGGUGAAAUGCGUAGAUAUAUGGAGGAACACCGGUGGCGAAAGCGGCUCUCUGGUCUGUAACUGACGCUGAGGCUCGAAAGCGUGGGGAGCGAACAGGAUUAGAUACCCUGGUAGUCCACGCCGUAAACGAUGAGUGCUAGGUGUUAGGUCCUUUCCGGGACUUAGUGCCGCAGCUAACGCAUUAAGCACUCCGCCUGGGGAGUACGACCGCAAGGUUG